This 942-nucleotide long non-coding RNA is filed under the name Gallus gallus (chicken). Its description in RNAcentral is "lncRNA (ENSGALG00010026624.1)". The record is from RNAcentral. Lineage: Eukaryota; Metazoa; Chordata; Aves; Galliformes; Phasianidae.
CUGUUGUUCUCUGUCCGCCAUGCACUUCUUCGAUCUUCCCACAAAUGUGGCCACUACUGCUUAGCAACCAGGGGAACAUGACAGCAGACAGCAAAAUCCUCUCCCCAUAGCUCACCCUGUUCCAUCUCCACAUCAUAAAGUAUCUUUCAUAGCCAAUUAAGAGGAAUGCAUGUUGUGUGGCCACAGAGAGACUGAGUGGGACCUCAGGGGUGGCAUGGGCUGAGCUGGGGUCUCUGCUAGGUGCAUGCAUGGAGAGCAAAUUCAACAAACUGAUGACUGAAAGACCCCGAUAUAUGUGGGUAUAACAGCUCCCCAAAGGCUUAUGGCAACUAAUAUUUGAAAAGAACAGGGAAAAGGAGGAGAAAAAAGGGAGAGAAGUGAAGGAAGAGAAAGAAAGAAGAAAAGAAAGAGCUGAAUAUCAAGGCGAUGGGGAACAGAAGAGCUUUAUGCCGCGGCAUAAAGCCCUCAGCACUCCAGCCGCCCAAACCGCCAAGACCGGAGGGGAGGGCCAAGAGCUCGCGAGCAGCACCAAGAGAGCAAAGUCCAGACGAAACCCCGCUAAGCAGCCGGGAAAGCAGCUACUCACUCACUUCUCCCAUGCCACAGCAGUCCUUGUUAAUGCCAGUCAUGAAAUACUGCUGUCUAAGGAGCUGCUUCACUGGUGCCUCUGCAGUAAGCCAAGAUCAGCAUCAUUCCCAAUGCUUACAAACAGUCAUCUCAGAGACUGCAGCAAGCCUUGCGCAAAGUCAGCUGCUCUACAGAGCCAAAGAAGUCCCUGCUACAGAACCUUCCUCAUCCCCUGAGCAACGGGAUUGAAACAUUGUCCUCGAGAGCUAAGGGUGAGAAGCACAGUCGAAAACUGAGCAGACAGAAGAAAGCAGUCAAGUUCAGUCCUUGAUGCAGAGGAAAAGAGAUUCAUUUCUACAUGGCACUCAAUAGCAU